GCCGCCGCGCCCUGACUUUGGCAACCCGCAGCUAUUCCAGGACUGCGCCCGUAACCGCAGCAACCUGUUCUUCGGGAAGGCAGGGACAUACAGCCGCCCACUGUUUGGAAAUUGCGCCGGCCCGCUACAGGAGCCACGCAGACACAUUGUAGCUUGCGACACACGUGUUCCAUCUGCCGAGCCGACGCUAACAGAGAGGCCGGGGUGCAGCGAUGUGCUGAAUACGUGCUGGUGUGAAACUCAUUAGAAAGCUGGACUUUUCAAAGCUGCUCCCUUGGCUGGAUCAAAGAUGGGAAAGAUGUCUGCCAAAUCAGUGAACAGCUGGGAUGGACACAUGCACUGGAAGUUGCCACAGGAACAUGUAUACUGGGAUGAGAAGAUGCCUGUGUGAGCCUGCGUACAGAGCAGUCUGAGGAAUUUCUGUUGUGUUGAUUGGUUUAUAUUUGUAAAUUAAAAACCCAAUCCCUGCCUUAAAGGCUUUGCAACCUCAAAUUCUAUGUUGAAUUUUGAGCUCUUUGCCUCAAGAAAGACACUGAGGUGCUGGAACGUGCCCAGGGAAGGACGAUGGAGCUGGAUGGAAGUGCUGUGCCAUUGCUACUAAAGAAGCCCUGACCACCCCACAGCUCAUUGACUGAAGCCUGACCUUGCUACAUUCAUGACCCGCACAGUGCCCCAACCAAGCUUUGUUUGGUCUCCAGACAAAAAAAUCUACAUUAAAUGGACCAAAAAGGAAGAAGUCUGAAAAUUGGCAGCUAUCAGCAAAUUGAAGACAGGGAAACUUUCAGAAGCAUUUGCUUUCUAAGAUGCUGUUGGCUGCAGUCUUCUUGAUAUGAGAAUUUUAUUUGCUUCUUGCAUUU
Non-coding RNA from Cyanistes caeruleus (blue tit), 857 nucleotides. Lineage: Eukaryota; Metazoa; Chordata; Aves; Passeriformes; Paridae. The record is from RefSeq and is a predicted model, not a curated record.